AGAGCGAACGCUGGCGGCGUGCUUAACACAUGCAAGUGGAGCGACGAACCAGGGCUUGCCCUGGGGCAGAGCCGCGAACGGGUGAGUAACACGUGGGUUACCUGCCUCGAUGACCGGGACAACCCGAGGAAACUCGGGCUAAUACCGGAUGUGCCCGCAAGGGGAAAGGAAGCUUCGGCCUCCGCAUCGAGAUGGGCCCGCGGCCCAUUAGCUUGUUGGUGAGGUAACGGCUCACCAAGGCUUCGAUGGGUAGCUGGUCUGAGAGGACGAUCAGCCACACUGGGACUGAGACACGGCCCAGACUCCUACGGGAGGCAGCAGUGGGGAAUCUUGCGCAAUGCGCGAAAGCGUGACGCAGCAACGCCGCGUGGGGGAAGAAGGCUUUCGGGUUGUAAACCCCUUUCAGUUGGGACGAAGCUUCGCCGGUGAAUAGCCGGCUGGAGUGACGGUACCUUCACAAGAAGCACCGGCUAACUACGUGCCAGCAGCCGC
Molecule: ribosomal RNA, 492 nt
Filed under: uncultured bacterium
Lineage: Bacteria
Description: SSU rRNA
Rfam family: Bacterial small subunit ribosomal RNA
Source: RNAcentral